Molecule: transfer RNA, 83 nt
Filed under: Trametes cinnabarina
Lineage: Eukaryota; Fungi; Basidiomycota; Agaricomycetes; Polyporales; Polyporaceae
Description: Pycnoporus cinnabarinus tRNA
Rfam family: tRNA
About the family: Transfer RNA (tRNA) molecules are approximately 80 nucleotides in length. Their secondary structure includes four short double-helical elements and three loops (D, anti-codon, and T loops).
Source: Rfam by way of RNAcentral
UGCCCCGUGGCUGAGUUGGUUACAGCGUCCGACUGUUAUAUACUCACAUCGGAAGGUCGUGAGUUCGAGCCUCACCGGGGCAG